UACGUAGGUGGCAAGCGUUGUCCGGAUUUACUGGGCGUAAAGCGCGUGUAGGCGGCUCGUUAAGUCUGUCGUGAAAUAUCCCGGCUCAACCGGGAGGGGUCGACGGAAACUGGCGGGCUUGAGGGGAGCAGAGGAAGGUGGAAUUCCCGGUGGAGUGGUGAAAUGCGUAGAUAUCGGGAGGAACACCAGUGGCGAAGGCGGCCUUCUGGGCUCUACCUGACGCUGAGACGCGAAAGCGUGGGGAGCGAACCGG
RNAcentral lists this ribosomal RNA (253 nucleotides) under uncultured bacterium. RNAcentral's name for it is "partial 16S ribosomal RNA". It matches the Rfam family "Bacterial small subunit ribosomal RNA", at positions 524 to 776 of the family's 1533-position model. The record is from RNAcentral.